This 858-nucleotide ribosomal RNA is filed under the name Adamastoraltica sp. n. AFD-2021a. Its description in RNAcentral is "SSU rRNA". It matches the Rfam family "Eukaryotic small subunit ribosomal RNA", at positions 943 to 1764 of the family's 1831-position model. Lineage: Eukaryota; Metazoa; Arthropoda; Insecta; Coleoptera; Chrysomelidae. The record is from RNAcentral.
AAGCGAAAGCAUUUGCCAAAAACGCUUUCAUUGAUCAAGAACGAAAGUUAGAGGUUCGAAGGCGAUCAGAUACCGCCCUAGUUUAACCAUAAACGAUGCCAGCUAGCGAUCCGCCCGACGUUCCUCCGAUGACUCGGCGGGCAGCUUCCGGGAAACCAAAGCUUUUGGGUUCCGGGGGAAGUAUGGUUGCAAAGCUGAAACUUAAAGGAAUUGACGGAAGGGCACCACCAGGAGUGGAGCCUGCGGCUUAAUUUGACUCAACACGGGAAACCUCACCAGGCCCGGACACCGGAAGGAUUGACAGAUUGAGAGCUCUUUCUUGAUUCGGUGGGUGGUGGUGCAUGGCCGUUCUUAGUUGGUGGAGCGAUUUGUCUGGUUAAUUCCGAUAACGAACGAGACUCUAGCCUUCUAACUAGGCGUAUUUCGACAUCCCAAAGGCCCGCCGGCAUCGAGUUUCGGCUCUUUUGNUGCGCGCGGUUUUUACUGUCGGCGUACAAACAAUUCUUUUUAGAGGGACAGGCGGCUUCUAGCCGCACGAGAUUGAGCCAUAACAGGUCUGUGAUGCCCUUAGAUGUUCUGGGCCGCACGCGCGCUACACUGAAGGAAUCAGCGUGUCCUCCCUGGCCGAGCGGCCCGGGUAACCCGCUGAACCUCCUUCGUGNUAGGGAUUGGGGCUUGCAAUUGUUCCCCAUGAACGAGGAAUUCCCAGUAAGCGCGAGUCAUAAAUUCGCGUUGAUUACGUCCCUGCCCUUUGUACACACCGCCCGUCGCUACUACCGAUUGAAUGAUUUAGUGAGGUCUUCGGACUGAGCGCGGUGGCGUUUCGGCGUCGUCGAUGCUUCGGAAAGAUGACCGAAC